GCCGGGAUCGCCUAGCUCGGUAGGGCGGCGGCCUGCUAAGCCGUUGAGGGAAACCUCACGCGGGUUCAAGUCCCGCUCCCGGCG
Molecule: transfer RNA, 84 nt
Filed under: Candidatus Acidianus copahuensis
Lineage: Archaea; Thermoproteati; Thermoproteota; Thermoprotei; Sulfolobales; Sulfolobaceae
Also listed under: 1 other name
Description: tRNA-Ser
Rfam family: tRNA
About the family: Transfer RNA (tRNA) molecules are approximately 80 nucleotides in length. Their secondary structure includes four short double-helical elements and three loops (D, anti-codon, and T loops).
Source: RNAcentral